RNAcentral lists this ribosomal RNA (305 nucleotides) under uncultured Chaetomium. Its description in RNAcentral is "partial large subunit ribosomal RNA". It matches the Rfam family "Eukaryotic large subunit ribosomal RNA", at positions 40 to 350 of the family's 3401-position model. The record is from RNAcentral. Lineage: Eukaryota; Fungi; Ascomycota; Sordariomycetes; Sordariales; Chaetomiaceae.
AUAUCAAUAAGUGGAGGAAAAGAAACUAAUAGGGAUUGCCCUAGUAAUGGUGAGUGAAGCGGCAACAGCUUAAAUUUGAAAUCUGGCUUAGGCUUGAGUUGUAAUUUGCAGAGGAAGCUUCUGGUGCGGCACCGUCCGAGUCCCCUGGAACGGGGCGCCAUAGAGGGUGAGAGCCUUGUAUGGUUGGAUGCCUAGCCUGUGUGAAGCUCCUUCGACGAGUUGAGUAGUUUGGGAAUGCUGCUCUAAAUGGGAGGUAAAUUCCUUCUAAAGCUAAAUAUUGGUUAGAGACCGAUAGCGCACAAGUA